GUUUCCAUGAUCAGUGGUAGAGCGGUCGGCUGUUAACCGAUUGGUCGUAGGUUCGAAUCCUACUUGGGGGAUA
Molecule: transfer RNA, 73 nt
Filed under: Helianthus annuus (common sunflower)
Lineage: Eukaryota; Viridiplantae; Streptophyta; Magnoliopsida; Asterales; Asteraceae
Description: tRNA-Asn
Rfam family: tRNA (bases 9-63)
About the family: Transfer RNA (tRNA) molecules are approximately 80 nucleotides in length.
Source: RNAcentral